AGCUCUGGAAGCCCCCUCGCCUUAAUGCAGCGCCCGCCGACGUCACGGCAGCCCGCGACCAAUCAGCGGCUCGCGGUCCCUCUGUAAACCAUCCUGCAUCCCGCGGCCGCGGAGAGUGCGGGGAGACCGCGAUUAGAGCAUCAGUGGCGGCCGGCUCCGCUGCCCGGCGCGCCCCGCUCCCCUCCGGCUCCGUUUUUACCCACUGUGGAGAAAGGGGAUCUCUUGCUGGUCCCUUCUUUUCAGAGGGCCGAAGGCUGCACAGGAUCUCUAGACAAUGAGCCAGAAAGGAAAGAGCAAGGUGUAGCUGAUUAGCAAGUUAAUUAUUUCAGUACCCCAAGGGUUCCAGUGUGGUGGAGAGCCAGCUUCCUGACAUCAGCAGUGUGAAGAUGAUGCACUACGUCUUGGUGCUGGCAUUCAGCUGUUCUUCAAGCAGGUUGGCUGGUGUACCUGUUGCCAAAGAGAGGUGACGUCUAUUUGGAAAGAUAGCUAUGAAAACCAUUUCUUUGCUGGUGACAGGAUUUGGGAGAAGGCAAGGGUGGUCCAAUCACUAUUUGAAUUUGAUGGUCUUUACCCUAUAAGUCUAAGGAGCUUCAGUAAGUGAGAUGUUAUUGAGAGGCAUUUAGAAUGUGGGAAGGCAGAUGUACGGAGUUUCUCAUCCCAGUCUUGGUACUGUCAUGCCAGGAGCAGGGAAAACAGAUUCUAGAGAGUAGAGCUUUUUGGUUUCAUGUAAGAACUUGGCUCUGGCUCCUGGGAGAUUAAGAAGACCUCGUGGGCCAAGAGAUAGAUAGUUCAUCUGGCAGAAUGUACACCUUUCCAUGCUCAAGGCUCAAGGUUUGAACCCCCAAAACCACACGCAAGUAUCAUGGAUCCAGGGAAAGUUCCAAGGAUGAUGAAGCAGAGCUGUGGUGCCUCUUUUCCACCUUAUCGGACAUUAAAAAAAAAAGAACAAAAAAGUUGGUCCAGAAGCAGUGGAAUUUUGCAUGUGUGAGACUUCAGAGCUGGAAAAAAAAAAGUCCUUUGAAAAAUAGGUAAGAUGUACAAGUGCCCAGUGGUUAAUAAGGGAGCAUUUUAAUCUUUGUUUUAUUUUUUGUUUAUAUUUACACAUUCUUUAUUUUAAAUUUCUUUAUUGGCGGAUUAAUAGUUUAUAGUUGACAGUAAAAUACAAGUUUGGACAUGCAUAACAUUUCCUAGUUUUCCACAUAACAAUACAACCCCCACUAGGUCCUCCUCUGGGGAGCAUUUUUAGUAAUAGCUUAUUACAACUCUCUCUUGUGAUUCUACCAUUUUCUUUUCUUUUUCCUCCUCUACAUCCUCCUCUUCUUCCCCCCCCCCCCAGAGUACUAUUCAGCUAUGGCUUAUGGUGGUGCUGGGGAUUGAACUUGGGAGCUAUGAGCCUCAGGCAUGAAAGUUUUUUUUGCAUAACCAUUAUGCUGUCUCAGCUUAGUUCUGUCAUUUUCUUGCUCAUAUUCUAAUUUGGAUUUACAGAUUGAAAGCCUGGCUUUCACAGUUCUAAAGGCUUUCUUCUCUGGCUAUUCAAAAUUAUUCAACAUUUUAAGCCAUUGACCAGUGUACAUUUUGAAAGGUAAGCUGGCAAACCUGUAAUGAAUAAUGUGCAAUCUUGUUUUCACAUGGCUUAAGGAAAGAUAGUGCUCCUUUAAAAAAUAAAGCUGCUUGGGAGGUGAUGCACUGGUUAAAACUGGACCUAAGAGCAUGAGAUCCUGAGUUUGAUGGCCAGCAUCACAUGUGGCAAAUUGAUGCUCUGGCUCUUUCUAUCCCCUGCUCAUUAAUACAUAAAAAUUAAAAAAAAAAAGAGGCAAAGAAUUUCUAUGAAUCUCUAAAUGAAGGGUUUACUACUCUAAGUCGAUAAGUUCUGUGCUCUUUUUACUCAUUCUGAAUGAACAACUUUGUCAUUCAACCUGAGGGUCUGCAGAGCUUAUUAAAAAUGCUUCCUUUGGUUUCUCCAUUUGAACACAUGCUGGGGCCUGGGCCUGCCUCUGACAGACAGGGAGGAGGAGAGACAUUCCAGAACCAGGGCUCAGAAUGUUAUCUCUUUCCCCACCCCAAAUCCUCACCCUCCACUUUAUCUCUCUUUACUACAGAUGCAGAGCCCUCCUAGGGAAGUGUGAAGGGAUGGGCUUUAAUCAGAUUUGGGGGAGCUUGGGGAAUGAACUGAGCACAAAGGAAGAUGGGGUUGGUUAGAAAUUUUUGAUGAUGCUUUCCUGUUAUACUUCUUAUGGUUGUAGAUUGUAUCCUAUAAAUUAUGUAUUUGUCACAGUAAUCUACAGUGUAUACAUGGCAUUUGCCAAAUGCUGCUUGGCUAGAACAAUGUUAAAUAAAAUUGUUAGAAGUGCUA
Long non-coding RNA from Erinaceus europaeus (western European hedgehog), 2353 nucleotides. RefSeq lists it as uncharacterized. The record is from RefSeq and is a predicted model, not a curated record. NCBI's taxonomy places the organism in Eukaryota, Metazoa, Chordata, Mammalia, Eulipotyphla, Erinaceidae. The transcript has 4 exons.